This 1876-nucleotide long non-coding RNA is filed under the name Callithrix jacchus (white-tufted-ear marmoset). Its description in RNAcentral is "lncRNA (ENSCJAG00000075364.1)". The record is from RNAcentral. Lineage: Eukaryota; Metazoa; Chordata; Mammalia; Primates; Cebidae.
GCAUUGCAAUUCCUUCUCCUGAUAAGCGUCACUACACCUGCCACACCUUGCUCUGAUCUACAUUCUAUCUUAUGGGUGGGGAGAAGAAGGCAGUGAUUAAUGUUGGCAAUACUUAGUCAACAUCUUAUUAAUAAGUGGUUAGUUCCUAGGUAUUCAUUAAGUACCUUCUCUGUUUCCAGUCUUAUCCCAGGCAGUAAAAGAGAUAAAGAAAAUCCUCAGCUACUGCCUUUUAUCUUCCGUCACUCCCUGACUUCUUGGCCUGAUGUUAUCUGACCAACACUGAGACAAACAUGUCUUUGGGUCUUGGUAAGUGGCUGUGUUUCUCUGUUGGGAACAACCAUUGUACAAGCAGGAAAACAUUUGUUGAAUGCUCAAAAUAUUCCAGGAACUGAAGGAUAUAGAGGUAAAUGAGAUAGUCUUUGCUCUUUGCAAAGAGUUCCCUUUAUAGCAGGUGGGACUAUCAUGUAAAUAAAUAUUACAAUUUCAAACUGGGUGUAGUGGCUCAUGGCUAUAAUCCCAGCACUUUGGGAGAAUGAGACAGGUGGAUCACUUGAGUUCAGGAGUUCGAGACUAGCCUGGCCAACAUGGUGAAACCUUGUCUCCACUAAAAAAAAUGCACACACAGAAAAAUUAGUGGGUAUGGUAGUGGGCACCUGUAAUACCAGCUACUCAGGAGGCUGAGGCAGGGGAAUCACUUGAACCCAGGAGGCAGAGUUUGCAGUGAGCCAAGAUUACACCACUACACUGCAGCCUGAGCAACAUGAGGAGACUCUGUCUCAAACAAAAACAAAAAAAACCCAAAAACCAAACAAAUAUUGCAAUUCCAAUUUGUGAGACUCUCAAAUCAAAAGAAGCUUAUACUAAGUAUAGGACAGAGAAAAAGAGUCUGUAACUAGCUUCGGGGGUGGCGAGUAAGGAAGAAUUUCUGGAAGAGUUCUAGAUGAGUAGGUAUUUUUCAGAUGGAUAACAGGGAAAAUGGAGGUGGAUGGUCGGGGAGGGAAUGGAAGGAAAUGAGACUUGUAACAAAGGCAGAGGUCAGUUCAUAUGGGUCUUUGGGGAACAUGAUCAGAUUUGCAGUUAGAAACAUUACUUUGACUUAGCCUAGAUGCUGGAUUCAAAUGCCAAUGCUGGGACCAGUAUCUACUUAAAUUAGGGUUUGAUAAGCUACUUCAAGGGUCAAAUCUGGCCCACAACUAUCUGUUUGUGUAAAUAAGGUUUUAUUGGAACACAGAAACACACAUUGGUUUAUAUGUUUUCUGUGGCUGUUUUUAUUCUACCAGAAAAUAAUCGAAUACAGUUGGUUCCAGGAUUCCCAUGAAUACCAAAAUCUGCAAUGUUCAAGUCUCUUGUAUAAAAUGGCAUAGUAUUUGGAUAUAAUGGAUUCACAUCCGUCUAUAUACUUCAAAUCAUCUCUAGAUUACUUAUAAUACCUAACAGAAUGUAAAUACUAUGUAAAUAGUUUUUGUGCUGUCAUACAUCACUUAGCAAUAGGAAUAUGUUUUGAGAAAGACUAUUUCGUUCUUGUGUGAACAUCAUGGUAUACACAAAAACCUAGAUGACAUAGCCUACUAAACACCUAGGCUAUGUGGUAUAGCCUAUUGCUCCUGUACAGCAUGUGACAGUACUGAAUACUGUAGCAAUUUAAUAUAAUAAGUAUUUGUGUAUCUAAAUAUAUCUAAGCAUAGAAAAGGUACAGUAAAAAUACAGUAUAAAAAGUAAAAAAUGAUAUAGUGCAUUUACUAUAGAUGGAGCUUACAGGACUGGAAGUUGCUCUGGGUGAAAUUAGUGAGUAAGUGGAGGGUGAAUGUAAAGGCCUAAGAUAUCACUGUACACUACUGUAGACUUUAGAAACACUGUACACUUAGGCUAUGCUGAA